RNAcentral lists this ribosomal RNA (497 nucleotides) under uncultured bacterium. RNAcentral describes it as "partial 16S ribosomal RNA". It matches the Rfam family "Bacterial small subunit ribosomal RNA", at positions 28 to 507 of the family's 1533-position model. The record is from RNAcentral.
GAUGAACGCUGGCGGCGUGCCUAAUACAUGCAAGUCGAGCGAACAGACGAGGAACUUGCUCCUCUGACGUUAGCGGCGGACGGGUGAGUAACACGUGGAUAACCUACCUAUAAGACUGGGAUAACUUCUGGAAACCGGAGCUAAUACCGGAUAAUAUAUUGAACCGCAUGGUUCAAUAGUGAAAGACGGUUUUGCUGUCACUUAUAGAUGGAUCCGCGCCGCAUUAGCUAGUUGGUAAGGUAACGGCUUACCAAGGCAACGAUGCGUAGCCGACCUGAGAGGGUGAUCGGCCACACUGGAACUGAGACACGGUCCAGACUCCUACGGGAGGCAGCAGUAGGGAAUCUUCCGCAAUGGGCGAAAGCCUGACGGAGCAACGCCGCGUGAGUGAUGAAGGUCUUCGGAUCGUAAAACUCUGUUAUUAGGGAAGAACAAAUGUGUAAGUAACUAUGCACGUCUUGACGGUACCUAAUCAGAAAGCCACGGCUAACUACGUG